This 78-nucleotide transfer RNA is filed under the name Actinoplanes italicus. Its description in RNAcentral is "tRNA-Asp". The record is from RNAcentral. Lineage: Bacteria; Bacillati; Actinomycetota; Actinomycetes; Micromonosporales; Micromonosporaceae.
UGUGGCUCGGCGCACUGGCGGACGCGAGCCCGCUGUCACCGGGCCGGACGCGCCGGAUCGCCUCCGGCGUGCUGCGGC